GGCUAAACCAUGCACCGAAGCUGCGGCAGCGACGCUGAUGCGUUGUUGGGUAGGGGAGCGUUCUGUAAGCCUGUGAAGGUGGCCUGUGAGGGUUGCUGGAGGUAUCAGAAGUGCGAAUGCUGACAUAAGUAACGAUAAAGCGGGUGAAAAGCCCGCUCGCCGGAAGACCAAGGGUUCCUGUCCAACGUUAAUCGGGGCAGGGUGAGUCGACCCCUAAGGCGAGGCCGAAAGGCGUAGUCGAUGGGAAACGGGUUAAUAUUCCCGUACUUGGUGUUACUGCGAAGGGGGGACGGAGAAGGCUAUGUUGGCCGGGCGACGGUUGUCCCGGUUUAAGCGUGUAGGUGUGUGUUCCAGGUAAAUCCGGUUCACUUUAACACUGAGGCGUGAUGACGAGGCACUACGGUGCUGAAGCAACAAAUGCCCUGCUUCCAGGAAAAGCCUCUAAGCAUCAGGUAACAUCAAAUCGUACCCCAAACCGACACAGGUGGUCAGGUAGAGAAUACCAAGGCGCUUGAGAGAACUCGGGUGAAGGAACUAGGCAAAAUGGUGCCGUAACU
This 557-nucleotide ribosomal RNA is filed under the name Salmonella enterica. RNAcentral describes it as "partial 23S ribosomal RNA". It matches the Rfam family "Bacterial large subunit ribosomal RNA", at positions 1179 to 1735 of the family's 2925-position model. The record is from RNAcentral. Lineage: Bacteria; Pseudomonadati; Pseudomonadota; Gammaproteobacteria; Enterobacterales; Enterobacteriaceae.